UCCCUGAUGGUCCAGUGGCUAAGACUCUCUGCUCCCAAUGCAGGAGGCCUGGGUUCAAUCCCUGGUCAGGCAA
Bos taurus (domestic cattle) is the source of this 73-nucleotide non-coding RNA. Lineage: Eukaryota; Metazoa; Chordata; Mammalia; Artiodactyla; Bovidae. The record is from Rfam.